AUUGAACGCUGGCGGCAGGCUUAACACAUGCAAGUCGAACGGUAACAGGAAGAAAGCUUGCUUCCUUUGCUGACGAGUGGCGGACGGGUGAGUAAUGCUUGGGAAUCUGCCUUAUGGAGGGGGAUAACUACGGGAAACUGUAGCUAAUACCGCAUAAUGUCUACGGAUUAAAGUAUGGGAUCUUAGGACCAUAUGCCAUAAGAUGAGCCCAAGUGAGAUUAGGUAGUUGGUGAGGUAAAGGCUCACCAAGCUGACGAUCUCUAGCUGGUUUGAGAGGAUGACCAGCCACACUGGAACUGAGACACGGUCCAGACUCCUACGGGAGGCAGCAGUGGGGAAUAUUGCACAAUGGGCGCAAGCCUGAUGCAGCCAUGCCGCGUGAAUGAAGAAGGCUUUCGGGUUGUAAAGUUCUUUCAGCGAUGAGGAAGGUGCUAUAUCUAAUAGGUGUAGCAAUUGACGUUAGUCGCAGAAGAAGCACCGGCUAACUCCGUGCCAGCAGCCGCGGUAAUACGGAGGGUGCGAGCGUUAAUCGGAAUAACUGGGCGUAAAGGGCACGCAGGCGGUUGUCUAAGUCAGAUGUGAAAGCCCCGAGCUUAACUUGGGAAUUGCAUUUGAGACUGGGCGACUAGAGUCCUCUAGGGAGGGGUAGAAUUCCACGUGUAGCGGUGAAAUGCGUAGAGAUGUGGAGGAAUACCGAAGGCGAAGGCAGCCCCUUGGAGAGAGACUGACGCUGAGGUGCGAAAGCGUGGGUAGCAAACAGG
Molecule: ribosomal RNA, 761 nt
Filed under: uncultured bacterium
Lineage: Bacteria
Description: bacterial SSU rRNA
Rfam family: Bacterial small subunit ribosomal RNA
Source: RNAcentral